Molecule: ribosomal RNA, 1604 nt
Filed under: filamentous cyanobacterium CCP1
Lineage: Bacteria; Bacillati; Cyanobacteriota
Description: bacterial LSU rRNA
Rfam family: Bacterial large subunit ribosomal RNA
Source: RNAcentral
UUGUGUGUGAAAAGGGCAUUUGGUGGAUGCCUUGGCACUGAGAGGCGAUGAAGGACGUGGCACGCUGCGAUAAGCCUCGGGGAGCUGCGAGCAGGCUUUGAUCCGAGGAUGUCCGAAUGGGGCAACCCAACCCUUCGGGGUUAUCGUGCGCUGAAUCCAUAGGCGUACGAGGCGAACCCGGUGAACUGAAACAUCUCAGUAACCGGAGGAACAGACAUCAACAGAGAUUCCGCUAGUAGUGGCGAGCGAACGCGGAACAGGCCAGUGGCCUGGCGUAACGAACGGGAACGGCCUGGAAAGGCCGGCCGCAGCGGGUGACAGCCCCGUACCGGUAGGUUGCGUCAGGUCCUUGAGUAGGGCGGGACACGUGUAAUCCUGUCUGAACGUGGGAGGACCACCUUCCAAGCCUAAAUACUCCUCAGUGACCGAUAGUGAACCAGUACCGUGAGGGAAAGGUGAAAAGCACCCCGACGAGGGGAGUGAAACAGUCCCUGAAACCGGAUGCCUACAAGCUGUCGGAGCCCCCCAUAUCUUCGGAUGGGCGGGGUGACGGCGUACCUUUUGUAUAAUGGGUCAGCGACUUUAUUUAUGCAGCGAGCUUAAGCCGUUAGGUGGAGGCGCAGCGAAAGCGAGUCUGAACAGGGCGCUGAGUUGCAUGGAUAAGACCCGAAACCAGGUGAUCUAGCCAUGAGCAGGUUGAAGGUGCGGUAACACGCACUGGAGGACCGAACCCACGUCUGUUGAAAAAGACGGGGAUGACUUGUGGCUAGGGGUGAAAGGCUAAUCAAACCUGGAAAUAGCUGGUUCUCCGCGAAAUCUAUUGAGGUAGAGCGUCAUGUAUUGCCGCCGGGGGUAGAGCACUGGAUGGGCUAGGGGGACCCAAAGUCUUACCAAACCUAACCAAACUCCGAAUACCGGCGAGUAGAGCAUGGCAGCCAGUCUCAGGGUGCUAAGGUCCUGGGACGAGAGGGAAACAGCCCAGACCACCAGCUAAGGUCCCCAAAUCGUGGCUAAGUGGGAAAGGAUGUGGGAAGGCCAAAACAACCAGGAGGUUGGCUUAGAAGCAGCCAUCCUUUAAAGAAAGCGUAAUAGCUCACUGGUCUAAAUAAGCCAUCCCGCGCCGAAGAUGUACCGGGGCUCAAGCCACGUACCGAAGCUGUGGGCGCGACUUUGUCGCGCGGUAGCGGAGCGUUCCGUAAGCCUGCGAAGGUGUACCGCGAGGUAUGCUGGAGGUAUCGGAAGUGAGAAUGCUGACAUGAGUAGCGAGAGCAGUGUGAGAAUCACUGCCGCCGAAAAUCCAAGGGUUCCUGCGUAAAGCUGAUCUGCGCAGGGUGAGCCGGCCCCUAAGGCGAGGGCGAAAGCCGUAGUCGAUGGGAACCAGGUCAACAUUCCUGGGCCUGCUGGAGGUGACGAAGGCCAGACGUAGUUCUUCCUUAUCGGAUUGGGAGGGCUGCCAAGGACUUCCGGGAAAUAGCCCCAGCGUACAGACCGUACCCGAAACCGACACAGGUGGAUUGGUAGAGCAUACCAAGGCGAGUGAGCGAACGAUGCUGAAGGAACUCGGCAAAUUGCCCUCGUAACUUCGGGAGAAGAGGGCCCCGUUC